This 425-nucleotide ribosomal RNA is filed under the name uncultured bacterium. RNAcentral describes it as "partial 16S ribosomal RNA". It matches the Rfam family "Bacterial small subunit ribosomal RNA", at positions 354 to 796 of the family's 1533-position model. The record is from RNAcentral.
GUGGGGAAUCUUGAGCAAUGGGCGAAAGCCUGACGCAGCCAUGCCGCGUGAAUGAUGAAGGUCUUAGGAUUGUAAAAUUCUUUCACCGGGGACGAUAAUGACGGUACCCGGAGAAGAAGCUCCGGCUAACUUCGUGCCAGCAGCCGCGGUAAUACGAAGGGGGCUAGCGUUGCUCGGAAUUACUGGGCGUAAAGGGCGCGUAGGCGGACAGCUUAGUCAGAGGUGAAAGCCCAGGGCUCAACCUUGGAAUUGCCUUUGAUACUGGCUGUCUUGAGUUUGGGAGAGGUGAGUGGAACUCCGAGUGUAGAGGUGAAAUUCGUAGAUAUUCGGAAGAACACCAGUGGCGAAGGCGACUCACUGGCCCAAUACUGACGCUGAGGCGCGAAAGCGUGGGGAGCAAACAGGAUUAGAUACCCGGGUAGUCC